GACAUAGGUGGCAAACGUUAUCCGGAAUUAUUGGGCGUAAAGGAUGCGUAGAUGGUCUAGUAAGUUAUCGGUGGUAAAUCGGGGCCCAACCCCGUGGAAGUUGGUAAUACUGUUAGACUUGAGUAUCGGAGAGGUUAACGGAACUCUCUGUGUAGCGGUGAAAUGCGUAGAUAUAGGGAAGAAAAACAAACGGCGAAGGCAGGUAACUAGACGGCUCCUGACACUGAGGCAUGAAGGCGUGGGGAGCAAACCGG
Molecule: ribosomal RNA, 254 nt
Filed under: uncultured bacterium
Lineage: Bacteria
Description: partial 16S ribosomal RNA
Rfam family: Bacterial small subunit ribosomal RNA
Source: RNAcentral